UAUGGAGGAUGCGAGCGUUAUCCGGAAUUAUUGGGCGUAAAGAGCGCGCAGGUGGUUAAUUAAGUCUGAUGUGAAAGCCCACGGCUUAACCGUGGAGGGUCAUUGGAAACUGGUUGACUUGAGUGCAGAAGAGGACAGUGGAACUCCAUGUGUAGCGGUGGAAUGCGUAGAUAUAUGGAAGAACACCAGUGGCGAAGGCGGCUGUCUGGUCUGCAACUGACGCUGAGGCUCGAAAGCAUGGGUAGCGAACAGG
RNAcentral lists this ribosomal RNA (253 nucleotides) under uncultured bacterium. RNAcentral describes it as "partial 16S ribosomal RNA". It matches the Rfam family "Bacterial small subunit ribosomal RNA", at positions 524 to 776 of the family's 1533-position model. The record is from RNAcentral.